ACAAACUUGGUCAUUUAGAGGAAGUAAAAGUCGUAACAAGGUCUCCGUUGGUGAACCAGCGGAGGGAUCAUUACUGAGUUCUAGCAACUCCCAACCCUGUGAACUAUACCAUUUUUGUUCUCGUUGCUUCUGGCAGGCGGCGGCCCUCUCUGGAGGGCGCGGCCUGCCUGCCAGAGGCGGCUUGCACGAACCUUCUAUUUUUCUUACCUGACCGUCUGAGUACGAUUUUGAAUCAAAUCAAAACUUUCAACAACGGAUCUCUUGGCUCUGGCAUCGAUGAAGAACGCAGC
This 290-nucleotide unclassified non-coding RNA is filed under the name uncultured fungus. Its description in RNAcentral is "partial contains small subunit ribosomal RNA, internal transcribed spacer 1, and 5.8S ribosomal RNA". The stretch from base 1 to 73 matches the Rfam family "Eukaryotic small subunit ribosomal RNA", at positions 1759 to 1831 of the family's 1831-position model. The record is from RNAcentral. Lineage: Eukaryota; Fungi.